This is an RNA transcript of Centrocercus urophasianus (Greater sage-grouse), 4383 nucleotides long. It is a transcript of the gene named GATA binding protein 6, with no coding region annotated. The transcript has 11 exons. The record is from RefSeq and is a predicted model, not a curated record. Lineage: Eukaryota; Metazoa; Chordata; Aves; Galliformes; Phasianidae.
UCUCGCUGCCUCCGGACUCGGAGCGGCCGCCGGCGAUGUACCAGACCUUGGCCAUUUCGGCCUCGCAGGGCCCCGCGCCCUACGACGGAUCUCCGGGCGGCUUCAUGCACUCCGCGCCCAGCUCGCCCGUCUACGUGCCCACCACCCGCGUGGGCUCCGUGCUGCCCACGCUGCCCUACCUGCAGGGCGGCGGCGCGGCCCAGCCCGGCCACGCUCCGGCCGGCCACGUCUGGUCGCAGCCGGCGGCCGAGAGCCCCUCGUACGGCGCCGCGGGCGGCGCGCACCCCUCGGGCCGCUUCCCCUACUCGCCCAGCCCGCCCGUGGCCAACGGCGCCUCGCGGGAGCAGUACGGCGGCGGCCUGGCGGCGAGGGAGCAGUACGGAGCGCUGCCGCGGCCGCUCAACGGCUCCUACCCGGCGCCCUACGCCUCCUACGUGGGGCCGCAGCUCGGCCCUGCCUGGCCCGCGGCGCCCUUCGAGAACUCCGUGCUGCACUGCCUGCAGGGCCGCGCCGCGCCCAUCCCCGUGCGGGCUCCCAGCGCAGAGCUGCUGGAAGACCUCUCUGAAAGCCGCGAGUGUGUCAACUGCGGCUCCAUCCAGACCCCGCUUUGGAGGAGGGAUGGCACCGGGAAUUACCUGUGCAACGCCUGCGGGCUCUACACCAAAAUGAACGGCCUCAGCCGGCCCCUCAUCAAGCCCCAGAAGAGAGUGCCCUCGUCGCGGCGACUCGGCCUGUCCUGUGCCAACUGCCACACCACCACCACCACCCUCUGGCGCCGGAACGCCGAGGGCGAGCCCGUCUGCAACGCAUGCGGCCUCUACAUGAAGCUUCACGGGGUUCCCCGACCGCUUGCUAUGAAGAAAGAAGGAAUUCAGACAAGGAAACGAAAACCUAAGAACAUAAAUAAGUCAAAGGCAUGCUCUGGUAACAGUACUACUGCAGUUCCUAUGACUCCAACAUCCACGUCUUCUACUAACUCAGAUGACUGUAGCAAAAAUGCCUCCCCAAGCACACAGCCGGCAGCCUCGGGGGUUAUCUUCAGAUGUCUUCUUCUCUUCAACGUGACCUCACUGCUGCUCUGAAAUCCUUGUGUCCUGUUGUGUGGAGGUAGUCUCUUAGAGCGCCGCGUUCAAAGGGUUUCUGAAGUGGAGUCCAUGCCUUGAUUCCAGCUAUCUUCCCCUGCGCUUGAACAAAUCCCCUCAGUGGAUGAAUCCCUGUGCAUCUGAGAACUGCUGAGACCCUCAAACACAGGAGUGCAGGUUACAAAAGCAAAUCUACUCCAUGUCCAAAUGUGCCUGUGAAACCAACUGCAGUAAACCUUCAUGAGAUCAGACAGUGGAGUCACACAGGUGUCACCACUACAGCUUGCACAACCCAUAAGCACAGGAGACAACUUCUGCAUUGUAUGGACUAUCCGUAAUGCAAAGCAGUACAUUCAGAGGAUAACAAAGAUGGCAUUGAAUAUUUGACUGCUCAAAAACAACGGUUCUGGUCAUUUUGAACUUAUGUAGCAGACCCAGACUGAUGAAUCCUGCUGUAAUUCUGCCUUGUCAUGCACUCGUGAAAUGGGUUGGAUGUCCUUGAGGGCCAAGCCACGUCCUUGGCAAGAACCAAGUGCCUGCAGUUCUCUCCAAGAAGGGACAGUGCCCCUCCUGCUGCAAGCAACUCAACAACCCUUCAAGCAUUAAGGAGAAGCCCCGCUCAGCAGAGAUGCCAGCUGCUCUCCAUGCUGAGCCUCUUGUUCCUGAGCAGGCAGAUGGUGCAAGGCCCAUCACUCUGUGUGCACUCAGCUCAGGGCACAGCUGGAAAAUCCCACCUCCUGGCCAUUUCCCUGUCCAGGUGAAGACACCAUAGAAGUUCUGGAUACAUUCCAUCACUGACUGGGAAGCAUACCGUUGGGUAAAGGGCAGAGCAACCUGCUGUAGCUGUUGGUGUCUCUGUUCAUCGCAGGGUGGUUGGACUAGAUGACCUUUAAGGUCAUCUUCCAGCUCAAACAGUUCCAUGAUUCUGUGAUUCUGAGCCCUGCCUAGGAGCAGCUCACACACAGCACUCCAUGCAGAUGGAGAAGUUCCCAGAGAUGGGACUUAGGAACAGAUGGGUGUGUGAUUAAGUCCAGCCCUUACUAUUGGCCCAAGUACCCCUUUGGCACCUCAUGUUGCUUUACAACUUCCUCAAGCCUCUCAGUGCCUUGUCCCGACCACCUAAUACUCUUUCCAUACAUUCCAAAAUGCAGCUGAAAUCUGGACAGCGAGAAACCUGAGCAGUGCUGUGGAGCCCCCAGUUAUUCACAACACCUCGCAAUACAACCUAAGUGGGCGCUCCAGAAAGCACUGAUUUAACUUUCCUGUCUCCCAGUCAGCUGGAAAUCUAUCAGUGUAAAAUAUCUUCUGUCUGAGUAAAAGCUGUUUCCAGCUUUCUGAGCAGCCUAGGAGAACUGAGCCAUGGCCUGGCUUCUCAUCCCAGUUCUCCUCACUCAAACUGCACAUCCAGCUCAAGAAGGAGGCUUUAGAUGUGUGCUAGCCCAUAAUCGUGCCAGCAGUGUCUUUGCAGUCACGGAGGACUUUAUGCUAAAUGCUUCUCUCCCACAGUUCUAAAAUAGUAACUAACACAGCAAGCAACAAAUGACUACGGGGCUUCUCGAGCAGCAGAGUGCACACUGGUCCUGUCUCAAUGGAAAAAACAAAAAAAAGAAGAAGAAUUUUGCCAAAGGUUUGAAUGGGAGAAAGAGCUUGUGGCUGACCACACAGCAAAGGGCUUUAUUUAUUUAUUUAUUUAUUUAAUGUCAAGUAAAUGCAAUUUAUAAGCCGUUGCCCGCAGAGUUUUCUAUUCAAAAGUAGGUGUAGUAGGUCGAAAAUCAAGAGACCAAAAGGCACAGGUGACACAAUCUGAGCACAGGACCAUUGUGUUGGGCCCAGCCCCGCUGCCCCAGCCACAACACUGUGAGGAAGUGCCACACAAACAGAGGAAGCAGAAUUCGGGCCGAGAAGGAUUUAGUAACCGCAUUACUACGCUCUCAGCACUGAUGCCUGCAAAAGAUAAAACCUGGGAAAAGACCUCGGGUUCCUACUCCUUAUUGUUGCUACCGGGGAUUUAGCUUGUAUGUCUGAACUGUGUACAUAUUUCACUGGUCUAGGUGGGGCACCGCCAGCAUAUUUGUACGGGCUGGGACAGUGACAGGACUGCUGAUGUUUACAAUAACAGGUUAGAGGGACUUUGCCAAAGCAUUCUUAGUUUUUAAAAUGAUCAGGGCGACCUAGCCCCCUUCCCCCUCUCCAUUGUUACUUCAUCUGCGGGAUUUACGGAAGAAGGAAAUGGUAAAUUACAAGAAAAAAAAAUAGUAUUUAUCUUGCCAGGACAUGUUGCUUUGAACUCGGAUGAUAUUAACAUAUCAAUCAGAUUCAGUGAUACGUUAAACAAGGUUGUCCCUGGUUUAUGGUUCACUGAGUCUGGGAGCUGAACUAUGGCUUUGUAUUCCUCUGUCUGAAUCCUUCCCCAGAGCAUACCACAUUGGUAGCCAGCACCAGGAGGGAUUUGUUUUGUCUUGUUGACCCAAAAUGAAGCCCAUUUCCAUUGAACUUCCAGUGAAUAUUUGCCCAGGUAGGUAUGUUUCAAAACAGUGAUAAUGGCUGAAAAUCCUUGGAGGAAGAAAUCUAAGACUAAAGAACACAAUCAGAAGCUACAAGCGCACUGUUUAGAGUAGUCUUGUGAGAGGAAAUAUUUCAGAUGACAUUUCCAGUUCCCAAUCAAAGCUUGGCCAAUUAGAUGGAAAAUUAAUUUAGAAAGGAAGCAUUAAUUAGAUUUUUAUAUACAUGUUAACUCCAAAAUUUCACGAGGCUUCAAAUAUUUGCCUGCUUCGCUCAGCCAUUUCCUGAUUAUGGAAUAUCCAUUAUUUUACAGAAACUCUUCAGGCUGGGGACAGCUUAAUUUCACUACAUGGCUUCCUCUGGGGAUGGCUAGGAACUUGUUUCUUGAGUGUUAAAUGGCAGCACUGAGCUGGGUAGUGAUUUGAACUGGUCUGCACUGGAUUUACCAUGCUAAGCAGCACACCGAUCCACUGGCUACAAAGAAUUUUAAAAAAAAAGACGAGAGAAAGAGAGAGCAAAUCAAGCAAUUCCCACAGGUGGUAGCCUGGAAAAAAAUCUUACCGUCUUCUUUCUUUUCUCUGCUAGGAAAUGGCACAGACAACAAAAUGAAGAAAUACAUCUAAAGAAUCUUUAACUUCAUUUGUUUCUGUUUGCAAAAUGAUACUCCUCCGUUUUAUAAGCCAACAGUGAGAACAGAUACUGCUAAAUAAAUUGCAUAGUAACCAAAUAACUAAUUUAAUAAACAAUAACAACGCUCACAAAUAAAGUUAAUCCUCAGAGCUUUAAACCAAUACAUAAA